CGCGUAGGUGGCCAAUUAAGUCAAAUGUGAAAUCCCCGAGCUUAACUUGGGAAUUGCAUUCGAUACUGGUUGGCUAGAGUAUGGGAGAGGAUGGUAGAAUUCCAGGUGUAGCGGUGAAAUGCGUAGAGAUCUGGAGGAAUACCGAUGGCGAAGGCAGCCAUCUGGCCUAAUACUGACACUGAGGUGCGAAAAGCAUGGGAGCAAACA
Molecule: ribosomal RNA, 207 nt
Filed under: uncultured bacterium
Lineage: Bacteria
Description: partial 16S ribosomal RNA
Rfam family: Bacterial small subunit ribosomal RNA
Source: RNAcentral